RNAcentral lists this ribosomal RNA (253 nucleotides) under uncultured bacterium. RNAcentral describes it as "partial 16S ribosomal RNA". It matches the Rfam family "Bacterial small subunit ribosomal RNA", at positions 524 to 776 of the family's 1533-position model. The record is from RNAcentral.
UACAGAGGAUGCAAGCGUUAUCCGGAAUGAUUGGGCGUAAAGCGUCUGUAGGUGGCUUUUUAAGUCCGCCGUCAAAUCCCAGGGCUCAACUCUGGACAGGCGGUGGAAACUACCAAGCUGGAGUUCGGUAGGGGAGACUGGAAUUCCUGGUGUAGCGGUGAAAUGCGCAGAUAUCAGGAGGAACACCGGUGGCGAAGGCGGGUCUCUGGGCCGAUACUGACGCUGAGGAGCGAAAGCGUGGGGAGCGAACAGG